UACGUAGGGUGCGAGCGUUGUCCGGAAUUACUGGGCGUAAAGAGCUCGUAGGUGGUUUGUCGCGUUGUUCGUGAAAACUCACAGCUCAACUGUGGGCGUGCGGGCGAUACGGGCAGACUGGAGUACUGCAGGGGAGACUGGAAUUCCUGGUGUAGCGGUGGAAUGCGCAGAUAUCAGGAGGAACACCGGUGGCGAAGGCGGGUCUCUGGGCAGUAACUGACGCUGAGGAGUGAAAGCGUGGGGAGCGAACAGG
This 253-nucleotide ribosomal RNA is filed under the name uncultured bacterium. Its description in RNAcentral is "partial 16S ribosomal RNA". It matches the Rfam family "Bacterial small subunit ribosomal RNA", at positions 524 to 776 of the family's 1533-position model. The record is from RNAcentral.